CAGUAGCCGCGGGAAUACGUAGGGUGCGAGCGUUGUCCGGAAUUAUUGGGCGUAAAGAGCUUGUAGGCGGUCUGUCGCGUCUGCUGUGAAAACCCGAGGCUCAACCUCGGGCCUGCAGUGGGUACGGGCAGACUAGAGUGCGGUAGGGGAGAACGGAACUCCUGGUGUAGCGGUGGAAUGCGCAGAUAUCAGGAAGAACACCGAUGGCGAAGGCAGUUCUCUGGGCCGUAACUGACGCUGAGAAGCGAAAGCGUGGGGAGCGAACAGGAUUAGAUACCCCCGUAGUCCCUGUCUCUUAUAC
Molecule: ribosomal RNA, 301 nt
Filed under: uncultured bacterium
Lineage: Bacteria
Description: partial 16S ribosomal RNA
Rfam family: Bacterial small subunit ribosomal RNA
Source: RNAcentral